Molecule: ribosomal RNA, 468 nt
Filed under: uncultured bacterium
Lineage: Bacteria
Description: partial 16S ribosomal RNA
Rfam family: Bacterial small subunit ribosomal RNA
Source: RNAcentral
GACGAACGCUGGCGGCGUGCUUAACACAUGCAAGUCGAACGGAAAGGCCCUGCUUUUGUGGGGUGCUCGAGUGGCGAACGGGUGAGUAACACGUGAGUAACCUGCCCUUGACUUUGGGAUAACUUCAGGAAAUUGGGGCUAAUACUGGAUAGGAGCUCCUGCUGCAUGGUGGGGGUUGGAAAGUUUCGGCGGUUGGGGAUGGACUCGCGGCUUAUCAGCUUGUUGGUGGGGUAGUGGCUUACCAAGGCUUUGACGGGUAGCCGGCCUGAGAGGGUGACCGGCCACAUUGGGACUGAGAUACGGCCCAGACUCCUACGGGAGGCAGCAGUGGGGAAUAUUGCACAAUGGGCGGAAGCCUGAUGCAGCAACGCCGCGUGCGGGAUGACGGCCUUCGGGUUGUAAACCGCUUUCGCCUGUGACGAAGCGUGAGUGACGGUAAUGGGUAAAGAAGCACCGGCUAACUACGUG